GUGAACGCUGGCGGUAGGCCUAACACCUGCAAGUCGCACGGCAGCACAGUAAGAGCUUGCUCUUCCGGGUGGCGAGUGGUGGACGGGUGAGGAAUACAUCGGAAUCUACUUUUUCGUGGGGGAUAACGUAGGGAAACUUACGCUAAUACCGCAUACGACCUACGGGUGAAAGCAGGGGAUCUUCGGACCUUGCGCGAUUGAAUGAGCCGAUGUCGGAUUAGCUAGUUGGCGGGGUAAAGGCCCACCAAGGCGACGAUCCGUAGCUGGUCUGAGAGGAUGAUCAGCCACACUGGAACUGAGACACGGUCCAGACUCCUACGGGAGGCAGCAGUGGGGAAUAUUGGACAAUGGGCGCAAGCCUGAUCCAGCCAUACCGCGUGGGUGAAGAAGGCCUUCGGGUUGUAAAGCCCUUUUGUUGGGAAAGAAAAGCAGCAGGUUAAUACCCCGCUGUUCUGACGGUACCCAAAGAAUAAGCACCGGCUAACUUCGUG
Molecule: ribosomal RNA, 491 nt
Filed under: uncultured bacterium
Lineage: Bacteria
Description: partial 16S ribosomal RNA
Rfam family: Bacterial small subunit ribosomal RNA
Source: RNAcentral